This is a non-coding RNA of Heligmosomoides polygyrus, 72 nucleotides long. The record is from Rfam. Lineage: Eukaryota; Metazoa; Nematoda; Chromadorea; Rhabditida; Heligmosomidae.
GCGCCGGUGGUGUAAGGCGUGGUAUUACUGCCCGGAAAGUAGAAGGUGCAGGUUCGAAUCUCGCCUGGCGCA